This 468-nucleotide ribosomal RNA is filed under the name uncultured bacterium. Its description in RNAcentral is "partial 16S ribosomal RNA". It matches the Rfam family "Bacterial small subunit ribosomal RNA", at positions 28 to 507 of the family's 1533-position model. The record is from RNAcentral.
GACGAACGCUGGCGGCGUGCUUAACACAUGCAAGUCGAACGGAAAGGCCCUGCUUUUGUGGGGUGCUCGAGUGGCGAACGGGUUAGUAACACGUGAGUAACCUGCCCUUGACUUUGGGAUAACUUCAGGAAACUGGGGCUAAUACCGGAUAGGAGCUCCUGCUGCAUGGUGGGGGUUGGAAAGUUUCGGCGGUUGGGGAUGGACUCGCGGCUUAUCAGCUUGUUGGUGGGGUAGUGGCUUACCAAGGCUUUGACGGGUAGCCGGCCUGAGAGGGUGACCGGCAACAUUGGGACUGAGAUACGGCCCAGACUCCUACGGGAGGCAGCAGUGGGGAAUAUUGCACAAUGGGCGGAAGCCUGAUGCAGCAACGCCGCGUGCGGGAUGAAGGCCUUCGGGUUGUAAACCGCUUUCGCCUGUGACGAAGCGUGAGUGACGGUAAUGGGUAAAGAAGCACCGGCUAACUACGUG